CUAUUAGCAAGUAAAGGGCUUGAGCCAGAAUGCAAAUCAAUGACUUUAUCAAGAGAGUCUUACUGAAAAAACAAAAACAAACAAAAAAUAUCAACUAAAAAACCAUCAGCAUGUGUUUAGAUUCAUAGCUGAUACUCAUUCUCACACAAUCUCCUCAUCUUUUUUCAGACAGUAACAGACUAUUCCUGGGCCGGCACUGGCACGUGGACCACUUGAAUAGCAUUACUGAAGCUUAAAAAUGAGGUAUCUCUACAUGUGUGGAUGUAAAAAGCAUAUUGAAGACUUUGCUUCUGCAGUUGUUUCAAGCAGAGUGCUUGACAGUGUGGACAGUAUUGAUAAUAACACAUUCAAAGAGAAAAGAAGGCAGUCUGACUUUAGGAACCCCAAAUUAGGCCAAGACAAUGCUGAUGAAAGCAACAGGGGAAGGAGUCUGGAACAGAAUUAAAUGCU
This 450-nucleotide long non-coding RNA is filed under the name Fukomys damarensis (Damara mole-rat). RNAcentral's name for it is "lncRNA (ENSFDAG00000030168.1)". Lineage: Eukaryota; Metazoa; Chordata; Mammalia; Rodentia; Bathyergidae. The record is from RNAcentral.